Mycena metata is the source of this 91-nucleotide non-coding RNA. The record is from the annotation of a GenBank genome assembly. Lineage: Eukaryota; Fungi; Basidiomycota; Agaricomycetes; Agaricales; Mycenaceae.
GGCCUGGUGGUGUAACAGUUAACACACGUGAAAUGGAUGGCCACAUAGAUUGGCUCUUCACGAGUUCUCCGUUCGAUUCAGAGUCUGGUCG